GGUCCCCUAGCUCAGUUGGUUAGAGCGCACGGUUCACAUCCGUGAGGUCACAGGUUCGAGCCCUGUGGGGACCA
This 74-nucleotide transfer RNA is filed under the name Thermoflexales bacterium. Its description in RNAcentral is "tRNA-Val". It matches the Rfam family "tRNA". Rfam says of the family: Transfer RNA (tRNA) molecules are approximately 80 nucleotides in length. Their secondary structure includes four short double-helical elements and three loops (D, anti-codon, and T loops). RNAcentral also lists the same sequence under 1 other name. Lineage: Bacteria; Bacillati; Chloroflexota; Thermoflexia; Thermoflexales. The record is from RNAcentral.